Chinchilla lanigera (long-tailed chinchilla) is the source of this 340-nucleotide long non-coding RNA. RefSeq lists it as uncharacterized. The record is from RefSeq and is a predicted model, not a curated record. The transcript is spliced from 3 exons. NCBI's taxonomy places the organism in Eukaryota, Metazoa, Chordata, Mammalia, Rodentia, Chinchillidae.
AGCAAGGAAUGCUGCAGAUGGAUGUCAGGCUGAAAAUCUCAGAGGCAACAUACGUACGAUCAAGUAUCAGCAAUUUCAAUGUAAAUGACAUGGAAAGUAAAAAUACAUAAAUUAAUAAAUAAAUGAAGAAAAUAAAGGAGAGAGGACAGGAAAUCAGAAGACAGACUUUUGGAGAUGGAGAAAUGAGUAAGUGGAGGUGGGAGAAAAAAGAGCAAAGAAAGGGAAGGAGGAAGUCAGCAAGUAUCCCUGGGCUCUAUGCCAACAGAAAAGAUAAUGACAGAGAGUGCUGUUGGAGUUUACAGAGAAAGAGUUCUUUUGGAAAAGCAAAGAGAUUAUUAAA